CAGCUCGUGUCGUGAGAUGUUGGGUUAAGUCCCGCAACGAGCGCAACCCUCACCGUAUGUUGCCAGCGUAAAGUCGGGAACUCUUACGGAACUGCCCGUGCAAGCGGGAGGAAGGUGGGGAUGACGUCAAGUCGGCAUGGCCCUUACACCUGGGGCUUCACACAUGCUACAAUGGGCGUCAACAGAGGGGUGCAAGGCCGCGAGGUCAAGCAAAUCCCAAAAAUACGUCCUCAGUUCGGAUUGCAGGCUGCAACUCGCCUGCAUGAAGCUGGAAUCGCUAGUAACCGCAGGUCAGCUAUACUGCGGUGAAUACGUUCCCGGGGUUUGUACACACCGCCCGUCAAGUCACCUGAAUUGUCUGCACCCGAGGCCGGUGGCCUAACCGUAAGGAAGGAGCCGUCUAAGGUGUGGGGAGUAAGGGGGACUAAGUCGUAACAAGGUACC
This 444-nucleotide ribosomal RNA is filed under the name uncultured Armatimonadota bacterium. Its description in RNAcentral is "bacterial SSU rRNA". It matches the Rfam family "Bacterial small subunit ribosomal RNA", at positions 1056 to 1500 of the family's 1533-position model. Lineage: Bacteria; Bacillati; Armatimonadota. The record is from RNAcentral.